This 87-nucleotide transfer RNA is filed under the name [Torrubiella] hemipterigena. Its description in RNAcentral is "Torrubiella hemipterigena tRNA". It matches the Rfam family "tRNA". From Rfam's summary of the family: Transfer RNA (tRNA) molecules are approximately 80 nucleotides in length. Their secondary structure includes four short double-helical elements and three loops (D, anti-codon, and T loops). Lineage: Eukaryota; Fungi; Ascomycota; Sordariomycetes; Hypocreales; Clavicipitaceae. The record is from Rfam by way of RNAcentral.
GCCACAGUCGUCUAGGGGUCAGGACACUAGUUUGUGGAGAUCAUCUGCAAUUCACUGGAAACCGAGGUUCGAGUCCUCGCUGCGGCA